GCGGUGUAAUGCGCGGGGUCCCGCAGGGUUCGGUGUUGGGUCCGUUGGUGUGGAACAUCGCGUACGCCGCGGUGCUUCGGACGUCGAUGCCUGCGAACUCGGCACUGGCGUG
Molecule: long non-coding RNA, 112 nt
Organism: Bombus impatiens (common eastern bumble bee)
Lineage: Eukaryota; Metazoa; Arthropoda; Insecta; Hymenoptera; Apidae
Exons: 3
Source: RefSeq, a predicted model, not a curated record